RNAcentral lists this ribosomal RNA (255 nucleotides) under Proteus hauseri. RNAcentral describes it as "partial 16S ribosomal RNA". It matches the Rfam family "Bacterial small subunit ribosomal RNA", at positions 54 to 306 of the family's 1533-position model. The record is from RNAcentral. Lineage: Bacteria; Pseudomonadati; Pseudomonadota; Gammaproteobacteria; Enterobacterales; Morganellaceae.
CAUGCAGUCGAGCGGUAACAGGAGAAAGCUUGCUUUCUUGCUGACGAGCGGCGGACGGGUGAGUAAUGUAUGGGGAUCUGCCCGAUAGAGGGGGAUAACUACUGGAAACGGUAGCUAAUACCGCAUGACGUCUACGGACCAAAGCAGGGGCUCUUCGGACCUUGCGCUAUCGGAUGAACCCAUAUGGGAUUAGCUAGUAGGUGAGGUAAUGGCUCACCUAGGCGACUAUCUCUAGCUGGUCUGAGAGGAUGAUCA